This 930-nucleotide ribosomal RNA is filed under the name Klebsiella pneumoniae. RNAcentral describes it as "partial 23S ribosomal RNA". It matches the Rfam family "Bacterial large subunit ribosomal RNA", at positions 1 to 965 of the family's 2925-position model. Lineage: Bacteria; Pseudomonadati; Pseudomonadota; Gammaproteobacteria; Enterobacterales; Enterobacteriaceae. The record is from RNAcentral.
GGGUUGUGAGGUUAAGCGACUAAGCGUACACGGUGGAUGCCCUGGCAGUCAGAGGCGAUGAAGGACGUGCUAAUCUGCGAAAAGCGUCGGUAAGGUGAUAUGAACCGUUAUAACCGGCGAUGUCCGAAUGGGGAAACCCAGUGCAAUUCGUUGCACUAUCGUUAACUGAAUACAUAGGUUAACGAGGCGAACCGGGGGAACUGAAACAUCUAAGUACCCCGAGGAAAAGAAAUCAACCGAGAUUCCCCCAGUAGCGGCGAGCGAACGGGGAGCAGCCCAGAGUCUGAAUCAGCUUGUGUGUUAGUGGAACGGUCUGGAAAGUCCGACGGUACAGGGUGAUAGUCCCGUACACCAAAAUGCACAGGCUGUGAACUCGAAGAGUAGGGCGGGACACGUGGUAUCCUGUCUGAAUAUGGGGGGACCAUCCUCCAAGGCUAAAUACUCCUGACUGACCGAUAGUGAACCAGUACCGUGAGGGAAAGGCGAAAAGAACCCCGGCGAGGGGAGUGAAAAAGAACCUGAAACCGUGUACGUACAAGCAGUGGGAGCACCUUCGGGUGUGACUGCGUACCUUUUGUAUAAUGGGUCAGCGACUUAUAUUCUGUAGCAAGGUUAACCGUAUAGGGGAGCCGCAGGGAAACCGAGUCUUAACUGGGCGUUAAGUUGCAGGGUAUAGACCCGAAACCCGGUGAUCUAGCCAUGGGCAGGUUGAAGGUUGGGUAACACUAACUGGAGGACCGAACCGACUAAUGUUGAAAAAUUAGCGGAUGACUUGUGGCUGGGGGUGAAAGGCCAAUCAAACCGGGAGAUAGCUGGUUCUCCCCGAAAGCUAUUUAGGUAGCGCCUCGUGAACUCAUCUUCGGGGGUAGAGCACUGUUUCGGCUAGGGGGUCAUCCCGACUUACCAACCCGAUGCAAACUACGAAUACCG